This 403-nucleotide long non-coding RNA is filed under the name Elaeis guineensis (African oil palm). RNAcentral describes it as "long non-coding RNA (EGUI_LNC071196)". The record is from RNAcentral. Lineage: Eukaryota; Viridiplantae; Streptophyta; Magnoliopsida; Arecales; Arecaceae.
AGACGGAGAAACGAAAAUUCUAAUGCGAUAAUUGGAUUUCUAAUGGAUGCUGUCGCCCCACCGAUGCCGUGUACCUCAUCUAACAGUUAUUGGUAACACGCACACCAAUGCGUGGAUAAUUUUUUGUCCAGAUGCUUUUCUAAGCAUAUUGCAGCGACUUGAUUUUUAAGUCAUGUGGGCUCACCUAACAGUUAUUGACCACACUUCUUAGUUAAGUUUGACCCACCAUUCACAAGCAGGUGCAAAACUGUCAUUGAAUCUCUCACCUAACAGUUAUUGGACCCAACUCCAUCUUUACUCUGAAGCAACUCUUUGCUAAUAAAGUGGUUGCGUGUUUCCGAUGCAAGUGAACCACUGUGAUCGACUGUGAACAAUCAACGUCGGUAGCACGCCCGCACAUCUA